Molecule: ribosomal RNA, 1317 nt
Filed under: Bacillus sp. (in: firmicutes)
Lineage: Bacteria; Bacillati; Bacillota; Bacilli; Caryophanales; Bacillaceae
Description: bacterial SSU rRNA
Rfam family: Bacterial small subunit ribosomal RNA
Source: RNAcentral
AAGGGAGCUUGCUCCCGGAUGUUAGCGGCGGACGGGUGAGUAACACGUGGGUAACCUGCCUGUAAGACUGGGAUAACUCCGGGAAACCGGAGCUAAUACCGGAUAGUUCCUUGAACCGCAUGGUUCAAGGAUGAAAGACGGUUUCGGCUGUCACUUACAGAUGGACCCGCGGCGCAUUAGCUAGUUGGUGGGGUAAUGGCUCACCAAGGCGACGAUGCGUAGCCGACCUGAGAGGGUGAUCGGCCACACUGGGACUGAGACACGGCCCAGACUCCUACGGGAGGCAGCAGUAGGGAAUCUUCCGCAAUGGACGAAAGUCUGACGGAGCAACGCCGCGUGAGUGAUGAAGGUUUUCGGAUCGUAAAGCUCUGUUGUUAGGGAAGAACAAGUGCGAGAGUAACUGCUCGCACCUUGACGGUACCUAACCAGAAAGCCACGGCUAACUACGUGCCAGCAGCCGCGGUAAUACGUAGGUGGCAAGCGUUGUCCGGAAUUAUUGGGCGUAAAGGGCUCGCAGGCGGUUUCUUAAGUCUGAUGUGAAAGCCCCCGGCUCAACCGGGGAGGGUCAUUGGAAACUGGGAAACUUGAGUGCAGAAGAGGAGAGUGGAAUUCCACGUGUAGCGGUGAAAUGCGUAGAGAUGUGGAGGAACACCAGUGGCGAAGGCGACUCUCUGGUCUGUAACUGACGCUGAGGAGCGAAAGCGUGGGGAGCGAACAGGAUUAGAUACCCUGGUAGUCCACGCCGUAAACGAUGAGUGCUAAGUGUUAGGGGGUUUCCGCCCCUUAGUGCUGCAGCUAACGCAUUAAGCACUCCGCCUGGGGAGUACGGUCGCAAGACUGAAACUCAAAGGAAUUGACGGGGGCCCGCACAAGCGGUGGAGCAUGUGGUUUAAUUCGAAGCAACGCGAAGAACCUUACCAGGUCUUGACAUCCUCUGACAACCCUAGAGAUAGGGCUUUCCCUUCGGGGACAGAGUGACAGGUGGUGCAUGGUUGUCGUCAGCUCGUGUCGUGAGAUGUUGGGUUAAGUCCCGCAACGAGCGCAACCCUUGAUCUUAGUUGCCAGCAUUCAGUUGGGCACUCUAAGGUGACUGCCGGUGACAAACCGGAGGAAGGUGGGGAUGACGUCAAAUCAUCAUGCCCCUUAUGACCUGGGCUACACACGUGCUACAAUGGACAGAACAAAGGGCUGCGAGACCGCAAGGUUUAGCCAAUCCCAUAAAUCUGUUCUCAGUUCGGAUCGCAGUCUGCAACUCGACUGCGUGAAGCUGGAAUCGCUAGUAAUCGCGGAUCAGCAUGCCGCGGUGAAUACGUUCCC